RNAcentral lists this long non-coding RNA (664 nucleotides) under Homo sapiens (human). RNAcentral's name for it is "HSALNT0160497". Lineage: Eukaryota; Metazoa; Chordata; Mammalia; Primates; Hominidae. The record is from RNAcentral.
AACCAGAUUCCUGACUCUCUGGAGAGUGCCCCCAAAUCAAUUAGAGUUGAUAUGUGGAUGCCAUUUUUCUUUGUCCCCUGCAGAUUCAUGACUUCAAUUGAGAGAUGAGUUUCAAGCCACCUUUCAAGGAAUCCUGGGUAGAAUGAAAUCUGUUCCAUGGAAUCUUAAGAAGAAGAAGAAAAAAAAUCAAGAUCCCUGUGGGCAAAGUCAUUUGCUGUCAUGCUUGGAAGGAGUAGAACCAAGUGUUUAUGAGCAUGGACUUUGGAGUCAGGAUACUCUCCUGAUAUACCACGAUGCAGAAUGUCAAGUAGGAAAAGAAGCUGUUGCAUUGGGCAAUUAAGAAGUCAUUGGUGAGAGAAGUUUCAGGCUGAAGUGGAAUCAUAGUAAAUUACAGAAAAAUAGUCUUUGGAGAGAGAAGGAAUCUGGUUAAUCCACAGGCCACACAAUCAUGGUUGAAAAUUAGGGAAUGAGCGAAUGAUGGAUCCAUCUCUUGAAGCAAUACUUGAAUCGCAGAAUUCUUAUAUUGAUAGAAGCAGAAGGAAACCAGAAGUGCUCCAAUUAAAGGCCUCCAUUUUUCAGAUCAGCAGACUAUGAGCCAUGCAUAGGAUCACACACAGGUCUUUUAAAAAUUAUGAGCCACUCAGCCUCGGCCUCCGGAGGUGCC